AUUUAAGGCUGACCAGGCUAAGCCAUGCUGUUCAGCAGGUUCCAAAGGCCAGGGAACAACUGCUCAAAAUCCUCUCCAAACCAGCCUCCAGUGAAUGGGUACACUGAACAGUGGUAUGCAACACUUGGUUAACAGCUGAAUGCCGUAGGGACUGGUGUUCUACCUCGUGGAACUGCUGGAAGAAUCAGAUGAGAUACUGUGUGUCAUUAACAUCUUCGUCUUACAGCUGAGGCAUCUGGGGCACAUAGAAGCCUCCAGUGAGAGACCGUGCUGUGUCCACCUGUCAUCUGAUACUGAAAAGCAUCGCCAUCCCCUGGGCUAAGAGGAUGGUGGGACCACAUCACGGAAGGACCUGAGUCCCCGAUUGACUACGUGGAGUGGAACUGUCCAGCCCUGCAUCCCGCCAACCUGAACUGACCUGUAAAGGAAGUCAGAAACAAAUUUUCAUUCUGUUAAUGCAUUAAAACUUCAGGUUAUUUGUCCCAGUAGUUGGCCUAUCCUCGUUAAUGCAA
Lontra canadensis (Northern American river otter) is the source of this 512-nucleotide long non-coding RNA. RefSeq lists it as uncharacterized. The transcript is spliced from 5 exons. NCBI's taxonomy places the organism in Eukaryota, Metazoa, Chordata, Mammalia, Carnivora, Mustelidae. The record is from RefSeq and is a predicted model, not a curated record.